UAGUGAGAAUGAGGGAUCUUUGCAGGGUGAAGCUGCAGAUGUUGGUUCAGUUCUGGAAAGAAGUUGUUUGAAUGGCAGUGGAUUUGCAAACGGCGUGCCUGAAGAACUAGAGGUCUGACAUCUUAAUUUCUGACAUGAUUUGCAGUCAUAUCUCCUUUUUCCUGAUUGCCUAUUCUUUUAAUUGUUUGAUGGAGUCAGAAGUUGAAUGAUGAAGUGUCUGUUUGGUCUAUUGAUGAGGUUUCCCCCUAGAUUUUGAUUCCAGCUGAACCUUGUAUUUUCUGUCUUGCUUGUUCUACAUAAUUUUCCUAACU
This 311-nucleotide long non-coding RNA is filed under the name Linum usitatissimum (flax). Its description in RNAcentral is "long non-coding RNA (LUSI_LNC000996)". The record is from RNAcentral. Lineage: Eukaryota; Viridiplantae; Streptophyta; Magnoliopsida; Malpighiales; Linaceae.